Molecule: long non-coding RNA, 1004 nt
Organism: Notolabrus celidotus (New Zealand spotty)
Lineage: Eukaryota; Metazoa; Chordata; Actinopteri; Labriformes; Labridae
Exons: 2
Source: RefSeq, a predicted model, not a curated record
CUGUGUUUCCUCCCUGGUGUUGUUGGAUCACUGAGUCUUUCAUGAGUCUUUCUUGUGCUUUAACCUACGCUCCUGCUUCCAGUGUUUUUCAUUGUUUACCCUCUCCUACUCCCCGUGGUUCCCUUAUGUUUGGACAUUUUGGAUUGUGUUUUCUGGGGAAAGUUAAAGUGUCCUGGAUUGGGGAUGUACGAUCCUCCAGAUGUGACUGAGGUCCAAAUGUUAGCCGAGCAUCCUGAGGUUCUAAACCAUGUUCCACGUGAUCCAGCUCCCAAUGUUGCACCAGUUGUAAUAGUGGCUCGUGCUCCUGAGGAAGAAUUUGAGUGGUGAGAUGAAUUCCAGGACACUGAUAGUGAGACUGGAGGUGACACUGACAGUAACGCAGACAGCUCCCUGGAUGAAAGUGUCGCCAGCAAUGAAGACGAGGUGUUUGCUGUAGAAGAAGGAGAUGAUGAGUACUCACAUCCCCGUCCAAGGCGAGAGAAAUAGAGGAGGAAGAUGAUUCCGAAUCAGAGGAGAGCGACAGCAAAAGAUUUAGGUGGGAUGAGUUAGUGGAUACUGACACUGAGAGCUGGUAUGACAGUGAUUCCAGCAGUAUCACCUCUAAAACUGAAAACACAGAGGAUGACAAAGAUAUGGUCCCAGAAGAAAAAGAGGAAGAGGAGGACACAUUUUCUGCUGAUACCAGACAGAUGAAAAGGCUGGACAAAGAUAUCAAUGAAGAUCAUGACUCAUUUCAUGACCGCAACUACAGGAAGAGGAAAAGAGAUGAAGAGGGAGUUGAUGAAGAUGGAGGAAGCCUCCAAAGAUUCAGACACUGAACCAUCAAGAAUCACAACAUACACUUUCCCCUUCAUUCCCCUCAUCCACGUCACAUCCACAGCCCACAAUGGAUUCAUCCAAACUUCAAUCUUGGGGAUCAGGGAAAAAAAAAAAAACUAUCCAGAUCUUUGUGCGGACUAGGGAUACCUAGAUCCAGAUCUCAGGUUGGGUGUGGACCAGGUUGA